CAGUCACUCUCGUAAGCUCGGACUGGCUGGACGUUUUCUUCGAACCGUAAAUUUACAUAUUUGCUCGGGGAGUUUUUUUUGUUGUUGCUGCUGUUUUUUUUUUAAAUCUCACAUUCAUACAUUUCCCCUGUACAAUUCGCGCGAGCGAAGUCUCUGCUGCUGGAAGCAUUGAACAAUCAAUCCGGCGGUUGGUUGAGUCAUUGGCGACCAAUGUGGUAUUGUGUCUCUCCAUGACUACGAGUUUUGGCGAUUUCGGCGGAGUGAUUGAGUAGAUGAAAAGUUCGAAACAAGUGCGUUUUAUGUAAGAAACGGAAAGUUUUUUUCCUCUCUCUCACUUCUGUGCGCCUUUUGAAGUGAUAUUCAGUCUGAGGUGGAAAAUUAAAAAGCUGUGAAAAGUGUGACAAGUGAAGCAAAAACAAAACCUCAAUCCCAAACUGACGAAAUCGCACCGAAAAUCGAUUGGUUCGCCGAUUCUCGUCUGUGGCCGUGCGUGUGUUUAUGAUUGACAAAAUCCGUCGUUUAGCACCCGCUAAUUGUUGCACUUAGCGUCACGUGAGAGGACUCGAAAACCUCGAGGGAACUUAUUUUGCGAAAUCCCAAAAUUAAGCACUGCCAGCUUAGAGUAUUAAUGCCAUCGGUGUCAUUUAAAUUAUUCUUUUAUACGAAGAAUUGUCGGGUGAGUGCUCCCUGCGAAAGUGAAUGAGAACAAAUUGAACCACAUUUGGACAUUUGAACAAAUAAAACGGGUGCACGCAAUUGGGACAGUAGCUGAGUAGGUGGAUUAUCUCCAGGGAAAUACCAACGCGAUUUUUGUGCUGGAGACGAAUUCUUUAGCAUCCAAUGUCGCUGUAGGAUCGCAACACCGUUUCUCUCCACGUCUAGUUUAAAAUCACCCACGCAGUUCCGUACUGUAACGGCACAAACAGAAUCGGCGGCCAGCAGUGACGACGACGCGAUGCCCCACAGCAGGAUACAGUGGCUGUGGCCGACGUUGGCCCUCGUUGCCAUCUCAUGCACUGCCGUUGUGUCAACACCUGUGCAAACAACGUCACAGGCAGAGCUUUAUCUAUCACAAUUUGGUUACAUCAAUGCAAAAUAUCGAAAUCCAACCAGUGGGAACCUGCUGGAUAAGGACACCUGGGAGAAGGCCAUCAUGGAGUUCCAGAGCUUCGCCGGGCUGAAUGCAACCGGCGAGCUGGACAACGAAACGAUGGAGCUAAUGUCACUGCCACGAUGCGGAGUGCGGGACAAGGUCGGUUUUGGGUCCGACUCUCGGUCCAAGCGAUACGCACUGCAGGGUAGCCGAUGGAAGGUAAAAGCACUGACCUACCGGAUAUCGAAGUAUCCGGCGCGGUUGGACCGAACCGAGGUAGACAAGGAGAUAGCGAAGGCCUUCUCGGUGUGGAGUGAGUACACCGAUCUGACCUUUACGCCAAAGAAAAGUGCGCCGGUGCAUAUAGAUAUCCGAUUCGAGGUGAACGAGCACGGUGAUGGUGAUCCGUUUGAUGGUCCCGGAGGGACCCUGGCGCACGCGUAUUUCCCAGUGUACGGAGGGGAUGCACAUUUCGAUGAUGCGGAGUUUUGGACGAUUGGAAAGAGUCGGGGGACAAACCUGUUCCAGGUGGCAGCCCAUGAGUUUGGCCACUCGCUCGGGCUGAGCCACUCCGAUGUGCGAAGUGCACUGAUGGCACCGUUCUAUCGGGGGUACGAUCCGGUGUUUCGGUUGGACUCGGACGAUGUUCAGGGUAUCCAAGCUCUGUACGGACGUAGAACCAGCGGAGGAAGCGCCGGUGGUGGUAGCAGUUUCAGCCCAUCCCGGACGACACAACGACCCAUACUGAAGGAUUCCGAUACCGAGUUGUGCUCCUCACCAAAGAUAGAUGCCGUAUUCAAUACAGCCGAUGGAAGUACCUACGCCUUCAAGGGAGAUAAUUACUAUAAGCUCACGGAGAACGCGGUGGCCGAAGGGUAUCCGAAGAAGAUCUCGGAAGGAUGGCCCGGACUUAAAGGUAACAUCGAUGCCGCGUUCACGUACAAAAACGGCAAAACGUACUUCUUCCAGGGUACCAAAUAUUGGCGGUACUCGGGACGACAAAUCGACGGAGACUAUCCGAAGGAAAUCAGCGAAGGAUUCACAGGAAUUCCCGACCAUCUGGAUGCUGCUAUGGUGUGGGGCGGCAACGGCAAGAUUUACUUCUACAAGGGUAGUAAAUUCUGGCGGUUUGACCCAUUGAAGAGGCCGCCGGUUAAAUCCACCUACCCGAAACCCAUCUCCAACUGGGAAGGGCUGCCAAAUAACAUCGAUGCUGCCCUGCAGUACACCAAUGGCUACACCUACUUCUUCAAGGAUGAUAAGUACUAUCGGUUUAACGAUAGGACGUUCGCUAUUGACCAAUCCGAUCCACCAUUCCCGCGACCGGUAGCGCACUGGUGGUACGGCUGUAAAAACACCCCUUCGACGUUCGACACGCUAGGUAAUGUUAAAGCUAUUAAAAAAGAAGAUGUCCAACACAACAAUAUCGCCGAUGAUUUGAUUUUGGAUGCGGCAUCAGAACUGCAUCCGCCGUUCGGUAGAGCCAAUGGAGCCAACGAAAUUUAACAAACCUACCACACACACCCACUACAAACACCCACCCACCCAUCUGUUGAUCUGCCCCAUGUCAUUCUUCGGAAAGCAAUAUGCGAACAAACAACAAGCGGAUUAUUUCAGUAAGCGCAUGAUGAAAGUUUUCUAGCGACUCACAGCUUCCGUCCCUAGCGACUUUUGUUAGUUUUGUUUCUUUGCCUCGAGAAGAACAACUAUCUUUCCAAAUUUGAAGCCAAAUAAAUCAAGAUACGAUACACAAGUGAGCGCGAAUUGGCCCAAAAGUUUUUAAGUAGUCCAAUGAAAACGUGCCCAAAUCGAUUCAAGAAAAAAAAGCCCCGAAGCAAGAAAAAAAAAGAUACAUCACAAACAGUAACACACACACAAACUACGGUCAACCAUCGAAGACUGCAGCCAGCCAGUUUUGUCUAAAUGCAUUAUCAGAAAGAGAUCCGGUGCGGACGAGCGACCCGUCGGAGAUGAUUACAACAGCGGAAGCGGAUCGAGUGCCGCCCCGAACAACGUCAGUAUUACCCUUCUCGCUGCCCUGGUAGGAUUCGCGCUUAAGUCCUUCUUCUAGUGGCCUUCCCGGCCAACCCGGAUCAGUAUCGCCAAAUUUAGUUACCCUAUCAUUUCCACUGAGAAGUAAACGUAAUGUCGUGUUCGUAAGGGGGGAAACAGUUUCGCUGCGUCCGACUGCUUGUCCCAUGAUUGGUCCCGGACGCCGCGUAUGAUUUCGAGCCAAUGACCACAGAGAACGAGCAACAAACUUUUUCUCCCUUCCCAAAGUUGUGACGUGAGUGAAAUGAGCAAUACAUAGGGAUAAAAUCGUGAUACACGAAACUAUUGUUCAGAACGGAACCAUAUUUCAUAGUUCAGUUUUUGUCUCGUACGUUUUUCUGUGACAAAUUAGGAUUUUGAAUUGGUUCAUAAUAACGCAAACGAAACCAACAUCCAUCAAAGUCAUUACCGUAAGAGCUUCAUAGUGAUUAACAAGUAAAAAAAUGCAAACGGUGCCUUUUUAAAAAAAAUUGUACAUAAUAAUUAUUGUAGUUUUAACAUUGAGCAACGGAAAAUGCUGCGCAGAAAAAAAAUGCAAUGAGAGCGUUGAGAAAAAAAGGAUAACUUACUAACGAUUGUUGAUUAUUAUUAAUCUUUAUAUCAGGAUUGUUCCCUCAACUUCUUUUAAUCUGUUCCUAAUCGAACGAAGAAGUAAGUGGGAAAUGGAUAUCAUGGAAAUUGGACCAUAUCAUCUCAACCAGUGUAUAAGAGAAUCGAAAUGCAUUCAUCUGUCAUUGCAGAACUAGGAGAAAUUAUCAUUUAAUGGAAACUUUUGUACAUAUUUAUUGCGAAUAGUGCGAAUAUUAUAGGAUUAACUGAAAGAAACAAAAAACGAAAUAAAGCAAAUGAUUGUUCUCAA
Toxorhynchites rutilus septentrionalis is the source of this 4004-nucleotide RNA transcript. It is a transcript of the gene named matrix metalloproteinase-14, with no coding region annotated. Lineage: Eukaryota; Metazoa; Arthropoda; Insecta; Diptera; Culicidae. The transcript is spliced from 9 exons. The record is from RefSeq and is a predicted model, not a curated record.